AAGUCGUAACAAGGUUUCCGUAGGUGAACCUGCGGAAGGAUCAUUAUUGAGACAUGAAUCGUAGCAUUGAGAACUGUUGCUGACCUGUUAAAGGGUAUGUGCACGUUGUGAGUGUUGCGUUUUAUUCUUUUUUCCCUGUGCACGUUUGUAGACUUGGUUGUUGAGUGGUUAGAAGGGUUGCUGGAAAGCUCUCUUUGCUUAGGAUUGAAGGGUUGCUGGAAAGCUCCCUUUGCCUAGGAUUUCACUUGUGCAAAGCUCGCGCUUUGUGUACCAGGUCUAUGUCUAUAAUCUCUUGUAUGUAUAGAAUGUCUUGUUUAUAGGACGCAAGUCCUUUAAAUGUUAUACAACUUUCAACAACGGAUCUCUUGGCUCUC
This 374-nucleotide unclassified non-coding RNA is filed under the name air metagenome. RNAcentral's name for it is "partial contains small subunit ribosomal RNA, internal transcribed spacer 1, and 5.8S ribosomal RNA". The stretch from base 1 to 46 matches the Rfam family "Eukaryotic small subunit ribosomal RNA", at positions 1786 to 1831 of the family's 1831-position model. The record is from RNAcentral.